AUUGGUGCUUGCAUCAUGAUUUACAUUUGAGUGAGUGGCGAACUGGUGAGUAACACGUGGGAAACCUGCCCAGAAGCGGGGGAUAACACCUGGAAACAGAUGCUAAUACCGCAUAACAACUUGGACCGCAUGGUCCGAGUUUGAAAGAUGGCUUCGGCUAUCACUUUUGGAUGGUCCCGCGGCGUAUUAGCUAGAUGGUGGGGUAACGGCUCACCAUGGCAAUGAUACGUAGCCGACCUGAGAGGGUAAUCGGCCACAUUGGGACUGAGACACGGCCCAAACUCCUACGGGAGGCAGCAGUAGGGAAUCUUCCACAAUGGACGAAAGUCUGAUGGAGCAACGCCGCGUGAGUGAAGAAGGGUUUCGGCUCGUAAAACUCUGUUGUUAAAGAAGAACAUAUCUGAGAGUAACUGUUCAGGUAUUGACGGUAUUUAACCAGAAAGCCACGGCUAACUACGUGCCAGCAGCCGCGGUAAUACGUAGGUGGCAAGCGUUGUCCGGAUUUAUUGGGCGUAAAGCGAGCGCAGGCGGUUUUUUAAGUCUGAUGUGAAAGCCUUCGGCUCAACCGAAGAAGUGCAUCGGAAACUGGGAAACUUGAGUGCAGAAGAGGACAGUGGAACUCCAUGUGUAGCGGUGAAAUGCGUA
RNAcentral lists this ribosomal RNA (645 nucleotides) under Lactiplantibacillus plantarum. RNAcentral's name for it is "bacterial SSU rRNA". It matches the Rfam family "Bacterial small subunit ribosomal RNA", at positions 69 to 692 of the family's 1533-position model. The record is from RNAcentral. Lineage: Bacteria; Bacillati; Bacillota; Bacilli; Lactobacillales; Lactobacillaceae.